This is a non-coding RNA of Rattus norvegicus (Norway rat), 1930 nucleotides long. The record is from RefSeq and is a predicted model, not a curated record. Lineage: Eukaryota; Metazoa; Chordata; Mammalia; Rodentia; Muridae.
CACGGUGCUACAUGCAUGUGAUGUGUAUGCUUGUGUAUGUCUAUGUAUAUAUGCGUACAUACAGACACUCAUACACAUUUUUUUAAAAAAGUUAAAUCUAAAAAUAAAUUAGACAAAGGCCUAAUUGUGUCUAGUACAAUUGAUCUAGUACAUGCUCCAGAAUCCAUGUGAGACCUCCCUAGGUCGUCUUCUUCCAUAUUCCUUCAUUCAACUUUCAAUUCUAUAUGGGAUUUAUUUUGAGGGCAGAGGGCUUCUUGUAUACCAAAUUCUAGGUGCUAAACAGUAUCCAAGUUCCUUGGCAAAAAAACCUCUUAGAUUUUUGUAUUGGGGAAUGGGGGCAUUGUUUUCUAUUUUGAGCCAAGGUCUAGCUAGCUAUGUAGUUCAAGUUGGCCUCAUAUUAGUUAUCCUCCUGCCUCAGCUUCCCAAGAACUAGGAUUACAGUUGGUAUCCAUGAUACUUGACUUUAAAAACAAUUCCUAAUCUUCAUCUUUCUGGAGAGAUUGGUGUUACCAACCCCUUUGACAAGUGGGGAAACUGAGUCCCAGGCAAGUGCCACUUCUCUCAGAGCACUCAGCACUAGGUAGUACCACCUUGCUUGUGUAUUGUGUCUCUACUUCUGGAAGGACAGCUCCUAGAAAGCUAGGGACUUGCUUUAUUUUGUCCACAGGUAUAUCUCAAAGCCUGGAAAUGUUUGUUGACUGAAUGAACAAAGUGGUGAAGCUGUGAAACUGGAAUUGUCUGGCUAGGAAACUGAAACGCCAUUUCUUUUUGGGUCUGGACUGGGGAACUUCAUAGUCCCUCGCCAGUGCCAGUGAAGCUAGUUCUAGGGUUCUAGAAUUCUCCUUUAGAACUCUGAGGUUAUUUCCCCCCACAACACUUGCCUCUCUCUAUUCUUCUUGCCCAAAGAAAGACUCAGAAAUCAGGGGAGAGCAGCUGUAGGAGUCCUCCACUCUGCCCUCCUAGGCUGAAAACCGCUGGGAACAGGGCACAGAUCCCUGCCCCAGGUCUCAACCCCAGAGCAGCCAAGCUUGGUGCUGACGUGGGUCGAUGGGCAUGAGAUCCCGAGAAUGACAGGAGAGCAAGGAAGCCCAGUGUGUGGACAGAUGUGAGAGUCAGGCAGGCGCACCUUUCUGCGCUAAGCCACUGGGAGCCAGGGUUACCUUGGGGUCCUGAGGACACUCUGCUCUCUGCCAGACCUGAACACUGACGUGAACCCAAGAUAGCACAGUACCCACCCCUCAGCUGUCCCAGUGCGUGAGAGCUCACUUUGCUCGGAUCUGAGCAAAGGCUCUGCGAUCCUAGCCAAGUUACCUCUUGAUGUCUCCGGCUCUCCAUCUGUAGAAAGGCAAAGGCAAACGGAGAAGUGCUUAGUGCAGUGCCUGAAGGCUCCCUGGGGGCUGGCAGAUGUCCCGCUCUGAAGGUGACUUAAGCACAGAAGGAAAGAGCUCAGUGAGGACCACAAAAGUAACUUCCAUGGCUGGCUCCCAUGGCAGAGAAAGCUUGAGGCUACAGAUGGGAUUUCCUGAGCUCAUCAUUGAGGUGGAGAAGGUCAAAUGGGUCUUUCCUGCACCACUUCUAGCCCCAGCAAAUUUGCUCCCAGUGGGAAUGUGCCUGCCAUGCAGGAGAGUGGGGGAUGGGUAUCUUGUCUGAGCUUAGGUCUUGCAGUGUGGGGAAUGGGUGGAGCUCUGACCAGCCCUAGGGCCUCAGGAGCAUCCCUCUAGUCCCUAAAUCCUUCUCCGUGUCUAGUUUCUACUCAGCCCAGCACUUCCAGCCUUGCCAGGACAGGGACGCAGCACUCUGACCUUUAAGUAGCUUGGCCACUUUCUCACAAACCCACAUCAAACUAGAAGCCACUCCAAGCCUGGGAACCUUAUUUAGGGACUUGUCUUCAGAACCUCUGGUCCUUACUAAAUGUAAGGUUUCUAGCUGA